UCCUCCCUCUGGCUUCGUGCUUAACACAUGCAAGUCGAACGGAAAGGCCCUGCUUUUGUGGGGUGCUCGAGUGGCGAACGGGUGAGUAACACGUGAGUAACCUGCCCUUGACUUUGGGAUAACUUCAGGAAACUGGGGCUAAUACCGGAUAGGAGCUCCUGCUGCAUGGUGGGGGUUGGAAAGUUUCGGCGGUUGGGGAUGGACUCGCGGUUUAUCAGCUUGUUGGUGGGGUAGUGGCUUACCAAGGCUUUGACGGGUAGCCGGCCUGAGAGGGUGACCGGCCACAUUGGGACUGAGAUACGGCCCAGACUCCUACGGGAGGCAGCAGUGGGGAAUAUUGCACAAUGGGCGGAAGCCUGAUGCAGCAACGCCGCGUGCGGGAUGACGGCCUUCGGGUUGUAAACCGCUUUCGCCUGUGACGAAGCGUGAGUGACGGUAAUGGGUAAAGAAGCACCGGCUAACUACGUG
Molecule: ribosomal RNA, 468 nt
Filed under: uncultured bacterium
Lineage: Bacteria
Description: partial 16S ribosomal RNA
Rfam family: Bacterial small subunit ribosomal RNA
Source: RNAcentral